RNAcentral lists this transfer RNA (76 nucleotides) under Colletotrichum orbiculare MAFF 240422. RNAcentral's name for it is "tRNA-Sup (TTA) (tRNA-Sup-TTA-4-1)". It matches the Rfam family "tRNA". Rfam says of the family: Transfer RNA (tRNA) molecules are approximately 80 nucleotides in length. The record is from RNAcentral. Lineage: Eukaryota; Fungi; Ascomycota; Sordariomycetes; Glomerellales; Glomerellaceae.
ACCCGCUUGACGUAGUGGUUUAACGUCUAGCUAGCUUUUACAGUAAGAGUAGUAGGUUCGAAUCCUGCGGCGGGUA